RNAcentral lists this ribosomal RNA (440 nucleotides) under uncultured bacterium. RNAcentral describes it as "partial 16S ribosomal RNA". It matches the Rfam family "Bacterial small subunit ribosomal RNA", at positions 338 to 795 of the family's 1533-position model. The record is from RNAcentral.
CCUACGGGAGGCAGCAGUGGAGAAUAUUGCACAAUGGGGGAAACUCUGAUGCAGCAACGCCGCGUGAGUGAAGAAGUAUUUAGGUAUGUAAAGCUCUCUCAGCAGGGAAGAAAAUGCCGGUACCUGAGUAAGAAGCACAGGCUAACUACGUGCCAGCAGCCGCGGUAAUACGUAGGCGGCAAGCGUUAUCCGGAUUUACUGGGUGUAAAGGGAGUGUAGACGGUGGGACAAGUCUGAAGUGAAAGCCCGGGGCUCAACCUCGGGACUGCUUUGGAAACUGCGUGACUGGAGUGCUGGUGAGGCAAGCGGAAUUCCUGGUGUAGCGGUGAAAUGCGUAGAGAUUAGGAAGAACACCAGUGGCGAAGGCAGCUUGCUGGACAGUAACUGACGUUGAGGCUCGAAAGCGUGGGGAGCAAACAGGAUUAGAUACCCUGGUAGUC